Non-coding RNA from Vicia faba (fava bean), 252 nucleotides. The record is from the annotation of a GenBank genome assembly. Lineage: Eukaryota; Viridiplantae; Streptophyta; Magnoliopsida; Fabales; Fabaceae.
AUGAUGAGUAUGGUUCUAUCAAGGAGACUACAAGGUUACUCCAAGAUGGAGAAGGAAGACUCAGAAGAGAGAAAGCAUAGAGAAGCACAGUUCUUGAUAUACAAAGCAUUAGAAAAAGUUGAUUCUCGAAGAAAGCCUUCAUUCUUGAGGAUUAAAAUAUUUAAGUUGAAGAUUAAGUUUGGGAACAGCUGUAGGAAGAUCAAGAAGAGAUUUUUGUUCAAGUGUAAUAGGAGUUGGAGCUUGUUUUAUUAA